AACUGCGCCCGGAGAAGUCCCGACAAUCUGCCGACGGACGCGGGUUCGAUUCCCGCCAUCUCCA
RNAcentral lists this transfer RNA (64 nucleotides) under Brevibacterium marinum. Its description in RNAcentral is "tRNA-Ile". Lineage: Bacteria; Bacillati; Actinomycetota; Actinomycetes; Micrococcales; Brevibacteriaceae. The record is from RNAcentral.